RNAcentral lists this ribosomal RNA (869 nucleotides) under uncultured archaeon. Its description in RNAcentral is "bacterial SSU rRNA". It matches the Rfam family "Archaeal small subunit ribosomal RNA", at positions 1 to 878 of the family's 1478-position model. The record is from RNAcentral.
CUCCGGUUGAUCCUGCCGGACCUGACUGCUAUCGGAUUGGUACUAAGCCAUGCGAGUCGUUGUAGCAAUACAAGGCGGACGGCUCAGUAACACGUAGUCAACCUAACCUAUGGACGUGGAUAACCUCGGGAAACUGAGAAUAAACCGCGAUAGAUCAUUAUGCCUGGAAUGGCUUAUGGUUCAAACAAUUUAUUGCCGUAGGAUGGGACUGCGGCCUAUCAGCUUGUUGGUGAGGUAAUGGCCCACCAAGGCUAUAACAGGUACGGGCUCUGAGAGGAGAAGCCCGGAGAUGGGUACUGAGACACGGACCCAGGCCCUAUGGGGCGCAGCAGGCGAGAAACCUUAGCAAUGUGCGAAAGCACGACUAGGUUAAUCCGAGUGAUUUCUGUUGAAGAAAUCUUUUGUCAGUCGUAAAACCACAGACGAAUAAGGGGUGGGCAAGUCUGGUGUCAGCCGCCGCGGUAAUACCAGCACCUCGAGUGGUCAGGAGGUUUAUUGGGCCUAAAGCAUCCGUAGCCGGCUACGCAAGUCUCCGGUUAAAUCCAGCUGCUCAACAGAUGGGCUGCCGGAGAUACUACAUAGCUAGGGAGCGGGAGAGGUAGACGGUAUUCUGUGGGUAGGGGUAAAAUCCACUGAUCCAUAGAGGACCACCAGUGGCGAAGGCGGUCUACCAGAACGCGUUCGACGGUGAGGGGUGAAAGCUGGGGGAGCAAACCGGAUUAGAUACCCGGGUAGUCCCAGCUGUAAACGAUGCAAAUUCGGUGAUCCAUUGGUUUAUGGCCAAUCCAGUCCCCCAGGGAAGCCGUUAAUUUUCCCCCCUGGCGAAGUACGGACGCAGGUUUGAAACUUAAGGAAUUGCCGGGGGAACC